This 246-nucleotide ribosomal RNA is filed under the name uncultured bacterium. RNAcentral's name for it is "partial 16S ribosomal RNA". It matches the Rfam family "Bacterial small subunit ribosomal RNA", at positions 527 to 772 of the family's 1533-position model. The record is from RNAcentral.
GAAGGGUGCAAGCGUUAAUUGGAAUUACUGGGCGUAAAGCGCGCGUAGGUGGUUCAGUAAGUUGGAAGUGAAAUCCCCGGGCUCAACCUGGGAACUGCUUUCAAAACUGCUGAGCUAGAGUACGGUAGAGGGUGGUGGAAUUUCCUGUGUAGCGGUGAAAUGCGUAGAUAUAGGAAGGAACACCAGUGGCGAAGGCGACCACCUGGACUGAUACUGACACUGAGGUGCGAAAGCGUGGGGAGCAAA